ACGGGUUUCCUGACAUUGUUUUUCGGUCUUCUGAAUUCCUCUUAUGAAGGAGAAAGAGCCGUGGGAUUCAAACUGCAUUUUAGCUGGUUGAUAAACUUCAGACUCCAAGAAAAUAUUUAUCUGGUGCCGCAAAGGAGCUCAUCUGUAUUUUACACUUCCGCUGAAAAAAAGCUCAUUGUCAGCUCCAAAGAGGUUCAGCUCUGCAUGUGAUGGGAACACAGAAAAGAAGAACAUUUUCUAAUUGUUCAUCUCUUUCCCUCAUUUUCUUCAAUAUUUAAGGGAAAGCUGGUAAAAAAUGCAUAAAAACUUUCUCAUGAGUA
Long non-coding RNA from Rhea pennata, 320 nucleotides. RefSeq lists it as uncharacterized. The transcript is spliced from 2 exons. NCBI's taxonomy places the organism in Eukaryota, Metazoa, Chordata, Aves, Rheiformes, Rheidae. The record is from RefSeq and is a predicted model, not a curated record.